RNAcentral lists this ribosomal RNA (427 nucleotides) under uncultured bacterium. RNAcentral's name for it is "bacterial SSU rRNA". It matches the Rfam family "Bacterial small subunit ribosomal RNA", at positions 355 to 774 of the family's 1533-position model. The record is from RNAcentral.
UGGGGAAUUUUGGACAAUGGGCGCAAGCCUGAUCCAGCCAUGCCGCGUGCAGGAUGAAGGCCUUCGGGUUGUAAACUGCUUUUGUACGGAACGAAAAGACUCUGGUUAAUACCUGGGGUCCAUGACGGUACCGUAAGAAUAAGCACCGGCUAACUACGUGCCAGCAGCCGCGGUAAUACGUAGGGUGCGAGCGUUAAUCGGAAUUACUGGGCGUAAAGCGUGCGCAGGCGGUUAUGUAAGACAGGUGUGAAAUCCCCGGGCUCAACCUGGGAACUGCCUUUGUGACUGCAUAGCUAGAGUACGGUAGAGGGGGAUGGAAUUCCGCGUGUAGCAGUGAAAUGCGUAGAUAUGCGGAGGAACACCGAUGGCGAAGGCAAUCCCCUGGACCUGUACUGACGCUCAUGCACGAAAGCGUGGGGAGCAAACA